Molecule: ribosomal RNA, 241 nt
Filed under: uncultured Actinomycetales bacterium
Lineage: Bacteria; Bacillati; Actinomycetota; Actinomycetes; Actinomycetales
Description: partial 16S ribosomal RNA
Rfam family: Bacterial small subunit ribosomal RNA
Source: RNAcentral
ACUCGAGUGGCGAACGGGUGAGUAACACGUGGGUGAUCUGCCCUUCACUUCGGGAUAAGCCUGGGAAACUGGGUCUAAUACUGGAUAGGACCAUCGUUUAGUGUCGGUGGUGGAAAGUUUUUCGGUGGAGGAUGAGCUCGCGGCCUAUCAGCUUGUUGGUGGGGUAAUGGCCUACCAAGGCGUCGACGGGUAGCCGGCCUGAGAGGGUGUACGGCCACAUUGGGACUGAGAUACGGCCCAG